Molecule: ribosomal RNA, 401 nt
Filed under: Acanthamoeba genotype T4
Lineage: Eukaryota; Discosea; Longamoebia; Acanthamoebidae
Description: SSU rRNA
Rfam family: Eukaryotic small subunit ribosomal RNA (bases 1-329)
Source: RNAcentral
GAAUACAUUAGCAUGGGAUAAUGGAAUAGGACCCUGUCCUCCUAUUUUCAGUUGGUUUUGGCAGCGCGAGGACUAGGGUAAUGAUUAAUAGGGAUAGUUGGGGGCAUUAAUAUUUAAUUGUCAGAGGUGAAAUUCUUGGAUUUAUGAAAGAUUAACUUCUGCGAAAGCAUCUGCCAAGGAUGUUUUCAUUAAUCAAGAACGAAAGUUAGGGGAUCGAAGACGAUCAGAUACCGUCGUAGUCUUAACCAUAAACGAUGCCGACCAGCGAUUAGGAGACGUUGAAUACAAAACACCACCAUCGGCGCGGUCGUCCUUGGCGUCUCGGUCCUUCGCGGGGCCGGGGCGCGAGGGCGGCGUAGCCCGGGGGCACCGGCGAAUGACUCCGUAACAACUUGUGAGAA